GCCGGGCGCGGUGGCGCACGCCUGUAGUCC
Molecule: non-coding RNA, 30 nt
Filed under: Gallus gallus (chicken)
Lineage: Eukaryota; Metazoa; Chordata; Aves; Galliformes; Phasianidae
Also listed under: 3 other names
Source: RNAcentral